Molecule: long non-coding RNA, 631 nt
Organism: Macrosteles quadrilineatus (aster leafhopper)
Lineage: Eukaryota; Metazoa; Arthropoda; Insecta; Hemiptera; Cicadellidae
Exons: 2
Source: RefSeq, a predicted model, not a curated record
UUUGCUCAAAAAAACAUAUUUUUGCAUUCCCCAUAGUAGAAAACCUAAGUACUAGCAUAGACAAAAAGAAUUAAAUAUAAAAAGACCGUCAGCUGUGCUGCAGUUACCAUAGGUUCUGGCGCACACCGCUGGGAGCGCUAUGCAGUUACGGCCUACGCACUACGUAACUACAUGGCGCUCCCAUCAUUGUGUGCCAGAACCUAUGGUAACCACUGCACGGCUGACAGUCUAUAUUUAAUUCUUUUUGUCUAUGUUACUAGUUAGAUCUAACUUUAUUCAAAAUAUGCUUUAUGGAAAUCUUUAAGCAUAAAUCCAGUUUAAGACGAAUUGAUAGUCUGCAGGUUUGCUGCUUCAGGUGUAUUUUUGCUCUGGUACUUUACUCAUUUUGUAUGUUUAGUGCACCUUUUUCUGAUUUAUAGAUGCUGUCAGGAGAAAACAUUGAGAAACAUCGGCUGAGAAUAUGAAGAACUCAAUCAAGAAGUGGCUGCAGCAAGCCACACCCAGAUUGAUGAAGAGGUCUAACAGACAGCAAGCAACACCCGCUGCUGAAGAGUGUUCUGAUGACUGAAUACUGUACGAAUUGUAAUUUAAACCUGUGUAAAUAUUUUCAGAAUAUAAAAUGUUAAGUGCA